AUUUACAUUAAAAGCCUCCUUUGCCUGCAGCGGUGCUAUGCGAAGAUCCCGAUGUAAAAAAUGCUGCCAAGGAGGAGGGUUCCAAGCCCCCUUACAAAGUCAAGUCUACGGUGACUUUUAGUUGCGUAUCUGGAUAUACUAUGACAGGAACUCGCACCCAAACAUGUGGACUAAAUGGUCAGUGGGCGCCUGGACUUCCAACGUGUGCACGUGACUCUGGGACGGUUGAUCCUCCUGAAAACAAAGGAAAUGGGAUGGCUAUAGGGUUGGGUCUAGGUUUGACCGUCCUCAUUGGUAGUGUCCUCACUGUCUUGGGAUGCUAUUUCUGUGGAGUUCCGGCAUGCAUCAAAGAGAAAAAACGGUAAAAUGUUGUGACUUCUUCUCUUUACAUCUCAGACCAUUUACUAAUGGCGCCUGAUGUCGGUCAACUCUUUCCUAACCUCCUUAUAUCGUGGCGUUUGGUCAGUACUUUCUUACUGACUCUGUCAGCUGUUGCAUGUUGAAGUUGGGUGCAUUGUAAGUUUUUAUUUAUUUAUUUAUUUUUAAAUUUUGGUUAUUGCUCUACUGCACAGUGCCAAUGAUCAUGUCAUUUAGACUGGUAUACAAACGAGAUGUUCCACACACACCUUCUAAACGGCAUACGCAACAAAUGUAGUAUGCCAGUGGUCUUCCUUUGCUAAUUGAGGCUGGGAAUGCAGAAGGCCCCUUAACAGCUGAUCUUAGAAUCCACCAAAGCACUGUGCGGUUUACGUAUGAUUUCUAAUUUCCAUU
Long non-coding RNA from Gasterosteus aculeatus (three-spined stickleback), 771 nucleotides. The record is from Ensembl. Lineage: Eukaryota; Metazoa; Chordata; Actinopteri; Perciformes; Gasterosteidae.